This 24-nucleotide microRNA is filed under the name Rosa chinensis. RNAcentral describes it as "sRNA RchiOBHm_Chr4g0431215". Lineage: Eukaryota; Viridiplantae; Streptophyta; Magnoliopsida; Rosales; Rosaceae. The record is from RNAcentral.
UUUUUGGAGACUGCACAUGUGAUG